GUUGAUCACAAUUUCCAGCAUCUCUCUAACAAAAGUAUGGUUCCUCCUCAUACCUCUUCUCUUCUUCUCCCCCUUGGCUUAGACUUAGAGCGUCUUCGUCCUCUUUACUCUUCUUUUGUUCAACCACCAUCUCUAUCUUUUGUCCUCUCCUCUUCAUCUUCAUUUCUUCCAACCUUCUUUUUGGUCUGAAAACUCGCCGGACGCCACCGUGAGUUGAGUUUUCCGGCAAAGUAGAAAGGUAAACCUUUUUUACAGAACUUAUUUGUUUUGUUUUCCUUACAACAUACAAAUUAAAAUCAUAAAUGUUCACCGUCCCUUCGCUACUUGUCUAAUAAUAAUCUGGAUUAUCAGAUUUGC
This 357-nucleotide small RNA is filed under the name Arabidopsis thaliana (thale cress). RNAcentral describes it as "putative long intergenic non-coding RNA". The record is from RNAcentral. Lineage: Eukaryota; Viridiplantae; Streptophyta; Magnoliopsida; Brassicales; Brassicaceae.